UUUCCGUAGGUGAACCUGCGGAAGGAUCAUUAUCGAAUUCCUAUUGAGAGGAAGGGAGCAGACUGUUGCUGGCUCUUCUGCAAAGAAGAGCACCGUGCACGCUUGUGGCUUUUCUGAUCGAUAGCUUUUCUACACCCACACCUGUGCACCUGUUGUAGGCAUCGACUAACGGAGAGAGUUUGAUGGGCUGUACUUGACUCAAAUACCGGUGACGCUGGAUAACGGCCGAACUUGUGUUUGUUGUUGAGGUGCCGCAUCGAAUGAUCGAAGUGAAAGGGCCUAUGUUUCACACACACCAAUUGUAUGUCUAUAGAAUGUCUUUUUACAAUCACUGAGCGCGUCUUCGAGAAGAUGGUCAGUAAGUAAAGUUAAUACAACUUUCAGCAACGGAUCUCUUGGCUCUC
This 404-nucleotide unclassified non-coding RNA is filed under the name plant metagenome. Its description in RNAcentral is "partial contains small subunit ribosomal RNA, internal transcribed spacer 1, and 5.8S ribosomal RNA". The record is from RNAcentral.